CAGCAGCCGCGGUAAUACGUAGGUCCCGAGCGUUGUCCGGAUUUAUUGGGCGUAAAGCGAGCGCAGGCGGUUAGAUAAGUCUGAAGUUAAAGGCCGUGGCUUAACCAUAGUACGCUUUGGAAACUGUUUAACUUGAGUGCAAGAGGGGAGAGUGGAAUUCCAUGUGUAGCGGUGAAAUGCGUAGAUAUAUGGAGGAACACCGGUGGCGAAAGCGGCUCUCUGGCUUGUAACUGACGCUGAGGCUCGAAAGCGUGGGGAGCAAACAGGAUUAGAUACCCCGGUAGUCCCUGUCUCUUAUACA
RNAcentral lists this ribosomal RNA (301 nucleotides) under uncultured bacterium. RNAcentral's name for it is "partial 16S ribosomal RNA". It matches the Rfam family "Bacterial small subunit ribosomal RNA", at positions 509 to 808 of the family's 1533-position model. The record is from RNAcentral.